This is an RNA transcript of Olea europaea var. sylvestris, 6668 nucleotides long. RefSeq lists it as uncharacterized. NCBI's taxonomy places the organism in Eukaryota, Viridiplantae, Streptophyta, Magnoliopsida, Lamiales, Oleaceae. The transcript is spliced from 4 exons. The record is from RefSeq and is a predicted model, not a curated record.
UUUUUUUUUUUUUUUUUUUUUUUUGUAGUUGUAUGUUAUAUAUGUAGACAUCCUUUUGCAUGGAAAAGACAGAACUGAUGAAAUGAAAUGAAAACUGAGUUUGCAGGCUUCCACCGCCCUUCUCUCCUCUCCUUCUUCCUUCCCUGGUUUCUUCUUCUCCACCUUCUGCUGUGUUUAUGUUUAUGUAAUCCUACAUCAACUUGGUAUCAAAGCUAAACCUGGAUUCCAUUAUCAAUCUGCAUCCCAUAACCCCUGCAUCUCCCAAAUACUUCAUCUACACACAGUUUCUAUUUACUCAACUCAGCUGCUACAACUCUCAGCAUGUUCCAAGAUUUCCAGCAGCCACCAACAUACAAAAUAUCACUCUAUAUACAGCUGCCUUCUACCCGCCGUUCCGCUGUCACUGUCCAGCCAUAAGCCAACUACCAACAACAGACACCACAACACCCACUCACAAAAUCACCGCCCACAAUUAAUCGAUCCAUAUAACCAGGCAACCAGUCACCACCACCAUAUAAUCUCUCAUAACCAAUUAACCAAUAAUCUCAAUACCAAUCAUGGUAAAUUCGCGAACACCAUCCUCCAUAAUACACAGUCAUCUAUCUACUAUACACGCAACUCAGUUCUCACUCCAUAUACACGACCUGGCUUACCAUAACAAUCACCAAGCUGCAACCGUUGCUGUAGAUCCAUCCUUGCGCACCACACCCAAAAGCUUAGACACUUUCAAGUCCACCAGUCAUCUACAAAUCAGCACCAAAUCAGCAAAGCCUCCUCACUCGAGACAACAACCAGAAAUUGAACAAAUCCACCCAAAAUUACAGCAGCCAAAAAUUGAUCCAUCGCCUUUCUGAACUCGAACCACUCGCGACCACCCAAAGCACCCACCCACGACCGCCGCCUCCACUCGUGACCACCAUGGCACCGGUCACCAUCACAGUGCUGGCGCCCACUCUGAGGAACUGGGAUUUAAUCCUCCCGAUAACCCAAAUUGCAUAUAAUAGUUCUGUAAAUCGAUCUUUUGGCAUAAGUCCUUUUGAAGUUGUUCAUGGUUAUAAACCUAGGAAGCCUUGAGACCUUAUCCCUAUGUCCCCACAUGCUAAUGUGUCUGUGUCAGUUGAGGCAUUUGUAUAACAUCUUCAUGACUUGCAUAUUGAGAUCAAUAAACAACUAGAGGCAAAUAACAUCACAUAAACUUCGAGCUGAUUUGCAUAAACGACAUGUUGAAUUUAAAAUUGGGGAUUAUAUAAUGAUCCGAAUUAGACCGGAACGGCGUCCAUCUGGAUCCGCUUCUAAAUUGCAAGCCCGUAGCGCUGGUCCUUUUAAAAUCUUAAAGCGUGUUGGUCCAAAUGCAUAUGUCAUUGAUCUUCCGUCAUAUUUUGGCUACCACUCUACUUUCAAUGUUGAGGAUUUAGUUGCUCAUAAAGGCCAUUUUAAGCCCUCCGAUGACUUUUUUCUACCCCCAUUUGUUGACUUUCACCUUGAACCUAUUGCUACCCCUAUUUCAACAUCUCCUGUCACAAUACCCAAAGAUAAGAUUGAUGCUAUUUUAGAUGAACAUAUUAUAUUGACUAAUGAUGGAGAAAUUCAACGCUUUCUUGUUCGUUGGGUAGGACGACCUGACUCUGAUUGUACAUGGAUCCCUAGAGAGACACUCCAACAACUUGAUCCUGACUUGUUGGAACUUUAUAGGAGUCAGCAUGAUCUUCCAUUGCCCAGACCACCCAUCACACGUGUAUAUGGACGUCGGAAGAGAUUUGUCCAACCACUCAGCUUAUGGUUGGACAACUGAUUGCAGCUAUUCACUCGACAGAGUCGAGUUUUCUCCCAUCUCGGGAGAGUUGAUGAGGACAUCUACUCAACAUUGGAUUAGCUUAGUAUUUUACAUUGGGCUUGUAGUAUAUUUUGUAAUUGGGCUAGUUAAUUUUGCUUUGGGCUAGUAUUACUGUUUUGGACUGCCUAAGCCCUUUUUCAAAACCUUUUUUUUUUUUUUUUUUUUUUUUUUUUUUGUAUUUGUAUGUUAUAUAUGUAGACAUCCUUUUGCAUGGAAAAGACAGAACUAAUGAAAUGAAAUGAAAACUGAGUUUGCAGGCUUCCACCGCCCUUCUCUUCUCUCCUUCUCUCCUUUCCUUCUUCCUUCCCUGGUUUCUUCUUCUCCCCCUUCUGUUGUGUUUAUGUUUAUGUAAUCCUACAUCAAUAUGGCUUCCAUCCUUCUUUCUUCUCUUAAGACAUUAUCAUUGUGCUUGUUAUAAGUUUCUGUGAUUUGAGAUCAUGUCUUUCUUUAAUGAAAUUAGAUAUACUGGUUUGGAAAAGAAGCUACAUGUCUUAGGAAGUUAACAUAAUGUACUUCCUGGUUAUAUAGAACUAUCUUGCUAUAGCUGAUUGUAUUAUAAUAUUGAACAUUAGAUAUAUAUUGGGUAACAUCAUAUUAAGAAUGCUGGCUGCAUUGAAUAUAAUUUACAAAAUCGAUAUUUGACAUAUUAAAUGGUUAUUUUUAUUGAAUGAUAACUUUGUUAUUUUGUGCUUUCCUCUCAUUUUUUAUUUUUUUAUUUUUUCCACAAUUUGAUCUCUGCAUAAGGAAAUUUGUACUUAUUGGUCGAGACUAUCAGAAUAAACUAGAUUUGAGCUGGAAACUUAUCCUCCCUGUUGAUCGGCCACAUAAUUACUUUGAAUGGUAUUUUUGAAGUCACGCUAAAUGGCUGUUCUCAGAAUGCUUAUGUCUUGUUCAGAAAUGAUGAUGCAUUGCAAGCAAUAAAGUCCAUCUUUUUGCUUCAUUUUCAUAAUUUUAUGUUGAGUAUAGUGUAAAACCAUUUAGUUGUUUAGUGGAAUGUCCAUACUCCAUUGUUUAUUUGUUUUCUCUAAAUUGAAGUUUGAAUCCCCCUGGUCUUUCUUUUAUCACUUAUUGUCAUUCUUUUUUCCACUUAAGGUCCUUCACAACAUUGUCAUUGUGGAAAGCAUUAGAGAUGGCCGUUCAGAUCCUAAGGGGCUUAUUGAAAUACUUGAAAAUGUUAAGGUGCCAUCAUUUUUUCAUUGCGUGUUACGUACGCAAUAAGUUGUGUGCACAUCUAAACAUGUUUACCAAUCCAUUUUGAAUGCCUUGGGGUGGGGGCAGUGUGUUUGUGUUGGGUGAAGGGGCGAGGGUUCUUCAACCAAAAAUUUUAUAAUUUUUUCUAGUUAUAAGCAAUAAAAAAGCCUUUUCUGUUAUGUGAUGAUGAUCUUGACGUGUGCUCAGGACAUCAUGUGGCUCUUGGUUUGAUGCUAUUAAUAGUGGAUAUAGAGGCAUUUGAACUUUAGUUUUUCGACUUUCUAUUGUUAUAUUUAAUUUAUUGUUCAAUUUAGAAAUUAAGUGAAAAGCUUGCUCGUUCAUCUGGCGGAAAUUUCGAGGCUUUUGGCUACAAUGGAAGCAACACAACAGCUGGAACAGAAAGAAGUAAUAUGGCACAUCAGUUUUCUAGUUCACCAGUUGCUUCCAGUGAUGAGUUUGAUACUUCUGUAACCACGUUCAACGUGGUAUGUUCACUCGGCAGUUAUAUGGUUCCAUCUGCAUGAAUAUGCAAAAUCAUUUUCAAUUUUAGAUACAUUGUAUCAGCACAUCGAACCAAUUGAUGAGGGACUGCUCUUCCUAUUUGCCUUUUGUUGCUGGAUGUUGCAUUACUUCCACAUCAUGCACCAAAAUAUGUCGGCUCGAAGGAGUUUGGUUCUAGUUUCCAAAAAUUGAUAGGAUCCUGUGGGUUUUGGGAAUCUUCUUGGAGAAGCAAUCUUCUAUUUUUCCCCUAUCUUCUAUGUCUGGUUUCUGGAUGAGGCACUGGGGUUGUGGGUGCUGAAUGAAUACCAUACAAGCCUGUUUCUUGACAGUGGAUUGCUCUAUUAUCUGAAGGUGUUGGCUGCUGGGAGAUGCAUAUAUGGGGAAUACAUUUAACUCCAGAAUUAUUCUUGUAUCUUUCAUUUCUGUUAUAACAGUGCAACAGUCAAUUCAGCAUUACUACUUUUGAUCCAUUUAUUUAUGCUGCAUGGCUGAGCUUACUUGGGAAGUUAAUCAAGGGCUAAAUUUAACUUUUUCUCAAUGCGGUGAACUCUAAUUUUAUCUGCUUAGUGAUGUAAUGGAUCAUGACAUAUUGACAUGCGAGAUGUUGAAUUCUCAUGGUGCAUUAUAUAGGAAAAAAGCACAUUAUGUUGUGGUAGUGCCUGGGAUUUGUGCUUUCUAAUAUAGUUUUUAACUUGCAUAAGAGUUCUCUACCGUCAUCUCUGAUGGAUCAUAAGUGGUUAUCGAGUUGGAAUACCAUUUACUAGGAUUUAUAUGGUUUUGUAGACCCUGUCAAUCACUUGAACGGAUAAAAUCAUGAUGAGACAGUCCAUUGUUUAUUUAUAUUUAUUCCUAGGUUCAUGCAUAAAUAUUUUGAUAUUCUGUUUAUUAUAGUUAGUUAUUUCUCUUGAAUUAACAAUUGUCUUGAAGUUGUACGCCUCCUGUUGGUCAUUUCUUGUGUUCAGGAUGUGAUUAGUCUUAUGGAGAAGGUUUUCUGUGUAAAUAGCUUGAUCAAUCCUGCCAUUAUUGGAAACUCAGUCCCAGUACAAAAUGUUUCAAGAUCUGCUUUACUUCCCAGCAAUUCAACUAUUCCCGAUGCUUCUACUUCUGAUUCAGUUGCUAAUGAAAAUACCUUGGAAAUCUCUUUAUCUAGAGCUUUAUCGGAGGAAGCACUUGAUGUUGAAUCGUUACAGUUAUCAACUUCUAUUGACAUCAGUGAGCAGAACCUUCAAAAACCAGGUGUGGUAUGGCUUUCUGUAAUGAUCUUACAUGGAGCCAAGCUGAGGAGUCCCAUUCAACCAUUGAUCUAAGAAUUAAGUUGCAUUUUUACAAGCUUCGUUAUUUGCUCCUCACCAGGAAUCUCAGGUCAGCCAAGCGGGAUAAGAUGGCUAUGAACAUAGCUCGUGGGAAAGAUUACCCCAUGGCUCUCCAUUUGAAGUCACAGCUUGAAUAUGCUGAUGGGAAUCAUCUCAAAGCAAUCAAGCUUUUGAUGGCAUCAAGUAAUCAGACAGAAAUUGGAAUUUCAAGUAUGUAUUACAACAACCUCGAUUGCAUUUUUUACCGACUUGGGAAGCAUCACACUUCAGGUUUAUUCUUUUCUAAAGCAUUAAGUAAUAGUUCACUUGUGUGGAAGGAAAAACCCCUGAAACUUGCAACUAUAUCUCAAGAUAAGUCUCUCCUGAUAACAUACAAUUGCAGCUUACUUUACUUGGUUUGUGGGAAACCUUUCCCUGCUGUGUGCUGUUCCCAGAAGGCCAGUCUAGGUUUCAACAACAGACCUCUUUUAUGGCUACAAAUUGCUUAGUUCUGUCUAAUGGCCCUAGAAAAGGGAAAUUUAAAUUCCAGUGUUUCUGCAUCUGACCGAUCUGAUAUCAAAGUUAAAGAUUUUGGAAAGGGGAAAUGGAGACAACUUGCAAUUGAAGAUGGAAUUUCAACAAACGGCCAGUGGGAAUAUGUUGAAAAGGAAGAGUUGUUUCCGGGUGAUGGUAAACAGCCUAAUCUCUCAAUUUCUCUUGCCUGACAGUGUCUUAUCAUUGCAUUGUAUUUAUUGGACUGAUCUAUGUCAAGGUAUUCUAAAUCUGGUUUGCCUUAUGGUUCUGAGGAAAGUGAAUCAAGAGAGACAGUGUCAUCUAAGAGUAUAACUGGCUCAGGUCAGGUCAAUGUAAAUGGGGAAGGGAAAGAACAGAAGGGUGGAAAAAUUUGAAACAUUUGUAACACUUGUUUACAUUACUCCACUUCGGACUGUGAUGAUAUUUUCAGUAAAGAGAAUCAGAUGAUGAAGCAAGAAGUCUUUGCUGAUUUGGCAAAUAUAGAGCUGGCUCUGGGAAAUCCUUCGGAAGCCCUGGCUGCAGCAAGAUCUCUUUUCAGACUUCCUGGGUGCUCAAUAAUAUACGUCUUUUUGGGAAAUAUGUAUGCAGCUGAGGCUCUAUGCCUGCUAAAUCAGCCCAAUGAAGCUGCUGAGCAUUUGAUAAUCUAUGUAUGGUGGGAGCAAUGUGGAGCUUCCAUAUCCUCAAGUGGAUUGUGAAAAGGGGAUAACGGAAAAAAAUGGCAGGUUUUGAAGAGUCAAAUGGUGGUUCAAAUGAAUCCAAAGGAUUUGUGUUCCUCAGGCCUGAAGAGGCAGUUGGGGUUAUUUGUACCAACGCCGCUGCCAACUACGCUGUGCUGGAGAUCUUGAGAAGGCCCACCAAUUUGCUAUAAAAGCUUUAUCAGCAGUACCCGAUAAUGCAAAAGCUAUAAUUGCUGCAAUUUAUGUGGAUCUUAAGUUUGGGAAAACACAAGAAGCUCUUGCCAAGUUGAGACACUGUACUUGUGUUAGGUUCCUUCUUGGUAGUUCGACAUGGAAUGGCUCUUCUUGAUUGUUUUUAUUGAUAACUUCUGCCCAUGCCCCUCACUCCUAGUUAGCAGGUGGCUAGUCAAUCCUUUGAAAGAGGGUUUUUAACUUGUAUACAUAUGUAUACUUCAAUUCAGGAUGAAGUUAUUUGUUCAUUUUCUUUUGGUUAAAACUUUUGCCUGUAGGGUUUUGUGACUUGUGGUGUGGGUUUGAUAUUUUGGUUACAAUCCCCACUUUAAAUUUUGGGUUGUAGUUUUGAUAGAGACUUGUACUCUUUAAAGGGGGAAAAAGAAUUUAGAUUCUUAUACAUGUGAA